RNAcentral lists this ribosomal RNA (630 nucleotides) under uncultured Sphingomonas sp. RNAcentral describes it as "bacterial SSU rRNA". It matches the Rfam family "Bacterial small subunit ribosomal RNA", at positions 21 to 704 of the family's 1533-position model. Lineage: Bacteria; Pseudomonadati; Pseudomonadota; Alphaproteobacteria; Sphingomonadales; Sphingomonadaceae. The record is from RNAcentral.
UGGGGGGAACAACGCUGGCGGCAGGCUUACCACAUGCAAGUCGAACGCCGUAGCAUACGGGAGUGGCAGACGGGUGAGUACGCGUGAUCUUCCCAAAGGUACGGAACAACUCAGGAAACUUGAGCUAAUACCGUAUGUGCCCGAGAGGGCAAAGAUUUAUCGCCUUUGGAUGAGCCCGCGUUGGAUUAGCUAGUUGGUGGGGUAAUGGCCUACCAAGGCGACGAUCCAUAGCUGAUCUGAGAGGAUGAUCAGCCACACUGGGACUGAGACACGGCCCAGACUCCUACGGGAGGCAGCAGUGGGGAAUCUUGGACAAUGGGCGAAAGCCUGAUCCAGCCAUGCCGCGUGAGUGAAGAAGGCCUUAGGGUUGUAAAGCUCUUUUGCCCGGGAAGAUAUGACGGUACCGGGAGAAUAAGCCCCGGCUAACUCCGUGCCAGCAGCCGCGGUAAUACGGAGGGGGCUAGCGUUGUUCGGAAUUACUGGGCGUAAAGCGCACGUAAGCGGCUUUGUAAGUUAGAGGUGAAAGCCCGGGGCUCAACUCCGGAAUUGCCUUUAAGACUGCAUCGCUAGAACGUCGGAGAGGUAAGUGGAAUUCCGAGUGUAGAGGUGAAAUUCGUAGAUAUUCGGAAG